AGUCGACGGCAGCGCGGGGCAACCUGGCGGCGAGUGGCGAACGGGUGAGUAAUAUAUCGGAACGUACCCAAGAGUGGGGGAUAACGUAGCGAAAGUUACGCUAAUACCGCAUACGAUCUUAGGAUGAAAGUGGGGGAUCUUCGGACCUCAUGCUCCUGGAGCGGCCGAUAUCUGAUUAGCUAGUUGGUGAGGUAAAGGCUCACCAAGGCGACGAUCAGUAGCUGGUCUGAGAGGACGGCCAGCCACACUGGGACUGAGACACGGCCCAGACUCCUACGGGAGGCAGCAGUGGGGAAUUUUGGACAAUGGGCGCAAGCCUGAUCCAGCAAUGCCGCGUGAGUGAAGAAGGCCUUCGGGUUGUAAAGCUCUUUUGUCAGGGAAGAAACGGCUCCGGCUAAUAUCUGGAGCUAAUGACGGUACCUGAAGAAUAAGCACCGGCUAACUACGUGCCAGCAGCCGCGGUAAUACGUAGGGUGCAAGCGUUAAUCGGAAUUACUGGGCGUAUAGCGUGCGCAGGCGGUUUUGUAAGUCUGACGUGAAAGCCCCGGGCUUUACCUGG
This 559-nucleotide ribosomal RNA is filed under the name uncultured bacterium. Its description in RNAcentral is "bacterial SSU rRNA". It matches the Rfam family "Bacterial small subunit ribosomal RNA", at positions 60 to 617 of the family's 1533-position model. The record is from RNAcentral.